Molecule: ribosomal RNA, 450 nt
Filed under: Triticum aestivum (bread wheat)
Lineage: Eukaryota; Viridiplantae; Streptophyta; Magnoliopsida; Poales; Poaceae
Description: partial small subunit ribosomal RNA
Source: RNAcentral
AUGGGGGAUGCACCUCUGUACAAGGAGCACCGCAGGUACACCAGGGAGCUCCACGACGUUGACCUCCACGGCAACCACAAGCUCCACGUCGUUUGCAGAAGCAAGCGUCAAGACGUGGACAAGAUGUUGUUCACGCUCAGGAGGAAGCUCGGUGGAAUGCCCGUCAAACUAGUCGGUGUUGAUGUCGAGUACACGCACAACGUGAAGCCACAGCGAGCAGUAGUGCUCCAGCUAUGCAUAGAUAAAGAGUGCCUUGUCUACCACAUCUCUGCAGCUAAAGACAGGCCAAUGGAACUUGACAAAUUCCUCAUGAAUGAUGAAUACACCUUCGCCGGAUUUGCCAUUGAAGGAGGAAAAAAAAGCUGCAGCUAUCUGGUUUGGAGAUUAACUCCGACAACUACAUUGAUAUUCAGGUGGAAUGGAGAGACCAUACAAGAAAAAGAAAUCUGA